AUUGAACGCUGGCGGCAUGCCUUACACAUGCAAGUCGAACGGCAGCGCGGGGCAACCUGGCGGCGAGUGGCGAACGGGUGAGUAAUAUAUCGGAACAUACCCUAGAGUGGGGGAUAACGUAGCGAAAGUUACGCUAAUACCGCAUACGCACUAAGGUGGAAAGUGGGGGAUCUUCGGACCUCAUGCUCAUGGAGUGGCCGAUAUCUGAUUAGCUAGUUGGUGAGGUAAAGGCUCACCAAGGCGACGAUCAGUAGCUGGUUUGAGAGAACGACCAGCCACACUGGAACUGAGACACGGUCCAGACCCCCUACGGGAGGCAGCAGUAGGGAAUAUUGGUCAAUGGAUGCAAGUCUGAACCAGCCAUGCCGCGUGCAGGAAGAAGGCCUUCUGGGUUGUAACUGCUUUGCCAGGGGAUAAAAUUCCAUGCGUGGAAACUGAAGGUACCUGGUGAAUAAGCCACGGCUAACUACGUGCCAGCAGCCGCGGUAA
RNAcentral lists this ribosomal RNA (489 nucleotides) under uncultured bacterium. Its description in RNAcentral is "bacterial SSU rRNA". It matches the Rfam family "Bacterial small subunit ribosomal RNA", at positions 30 to 523 of the family's 1533-position model. The record is from RNAcentral.